Molecule: small RNA, 29 nt
Filed under: Bombyx mori (domestic silkworm)
Lineage: Eukaryota; Metazoa; Arthropoda; Insecta; Lepidoptera; Bombycidae
Description: ovarian small RNA-18104
Source: RNAcentral
UAAACACGAUGGAUUUUCCUUACACUUGA